UUAAGGGUCUGCCUUUGGCUCAGGUCAUGAUCCUGGGGUCCUGGGAUCAAGUCCUGUGUCAGGCUUCCUGCUCCUUGGGGAGACUGCUUUUCCCUCUGCCUCUCUCUCUCUUUCUCUCUCUCUCUCUGUCUCUCAUGAAUAAAUAAAUGAAAUCUUAAUUUUAAAAAAAGAGAGAAAUAGAGGAGGAAGACAGCCAAUGCCAAGAAAGCUCAACACUGAGGAAUCAGAAGAAUCGGUUACUGCACAAGAUGGGGCGGAGGUGGGAUUCAAGACAGGAGGCUAGGUUGAAGGCCUGGAGUUAGCACCCCCCACCCCGGCCAGGUGACUGCCCCCCUCCCCAUUCCAGGAAAGAACCCUUUAUUCUGAGAUUGAAUCAGAGAAAUAGGCAGGUGGAGGGGAAGAGGCACUGGUUUUUAAAUUUUUAUUGUUUUUGUUUGUUUUGUGUUUAUUUUAUGCAGAACUUACUUCCAGACCAUAAGUUUUUGUCUUUUCAGUUUCUUCUGGGAUAUCUUUUCCUGCUAUGCAACCUCCUCUUCUGGUUUAGGAACAACCUGCUCUCUUUCAGUGAGGAUCAUCUUGAUGCAGCAGGGAGAGCUCAUGUAAGGGUGAAUCUGACCUGGAGCCCUGUGAGACACCUGUGCCACCUUGAAAAGAUAUGGAAAGCGUCUGUCCCAAAAGAAGGCAGAGAGCAACAUAAGCCUGCAGAAGGAGGUGGGAUCUGUUCCGCAGUCUUUAUGGGAUGACCUCCGCCUUUUUCUUUUUUAUGCUGUGAAUAUAAUUUAUAAUGUGUGGCAUGUGAACGGUGUUGUGGAGCUGGCUGGAGAUGGGAAGAAUGUCCUUCUAGCUCCAUCAUGCUGUUCUCCAAGAGGAGGGGAUCAAGAUCCAUCUGGGCAGAGGCUGCAUUUCAGCUGGAGCCACAUUUACCGGUGGGCCAGGCCGUGAAACUCGGACAGGUUCCAUGCGGCUCAUCAGCCUCUUUCCUCUUUCCUGUUUCUGUGGGCCUGAGAUGUGUUGAUGCGACCCUAUCUUGC
RNAcentral lists this long non-coding RNA (1031 nucleotides) under Vulpes vulpes (red fox). RNAcentral describes it as "lncRNA (ENSVVUG00000006121.1)". The record is from RNAcentral. Lineage: Eukaryota; Metazoa; Chordata; Mammalia; Carnivora; Canidae.